UAGUGGGGGAUAACGCACCGAAAGGUGCGCUAAUACCGCAUACGACCUACGGGUGAAAGCGGGGGACCGUAAGGCCUCGCGCUAUUGGAGCGGCCGAUGUCUGAUUAGCUAGUUGGCGGGGUAAAAGCCCACCAAGGCGACGAUCAGUAGCUGGUCUGAGAGGACGAUCAGCCACACUGGGACUGAGACACGGCCCAGACUCCUACGGGAGGCAGCAGUGGGGAAUUUUGGACAAUGGGGGCAACCCUGAUCCAGCAAAGGGGCGUGUGCGAAGAAGGCCUUCGGGUGUAAAGCUUAAGGGUCAGGGAAGAAAUCUUUCAGGCUAAUACCCUGGAAGGAUGA
Molecule: ribosomal RNA, 342 nt
Filed under: uncultured bacterium
Lineage: Bacteria
Description: bacterial SSU rRNA
Rfam family: Bacterial small subunit ribosomal RNA
Source: RNAcentral